CCGCGGCAAGACGGAAAGACCCCGUGAACCUUUACUAUAGCUUGACACUGAACACUGGUCCUUGAUGUGUAGGAUAGGUGGGAGGCUUUGAAGUGUGGACGCCAGUCUGCAUGGAGCCAUCCUUGAAAUACCACCCUUUAAUGGCUGGUGUUCUAACGUGGACCCGUAAUCCGGGUUGCGGACAGUGUCUGGUGGGUAGUUUGACUGGGGCGGUCUCCUCCUAAAGAGUAACGGAGGAGCACGAAGGUUAGCUAAUCCUGGUCGGACAUCAGGAGGUUAGUGCAAAGGCAUAAGCUAGCUUGACUGCGAGAGUGACGGCUCGAGCAGGUGCGAAAGCAGGUCUUAGUGAUCCGGUGGUUCUGAAUGGAAGGGCCAUCGCUCAACGGAUAAAAGGUACUCCGGGGAUAACAGGCUGAUACCGCCCAAGAGUUCAUAUCGACGGCGGUGUUUGGCACCUCGAUGUCGGCUCAUCACAUCCUGGGGCUGAAGUAGGUCCCAAGGGUAUGGCUGUUCGCCAUUUAAAGUGGUACGCGAGCUGGGUUUAGAACGUCGUGAGACAGUUCGGUCCCUAUCUGCCGUGGGCGCUGGAGAAUUGAGGGGGGCUGCUCCUAGUACGAGAGGACCGGAGUGGACGCAUCACUGGUGUUCGGGUUGUCAUGCCAAUGGCAUUGCCCGGUAGCUAAAUGCGGAAGAGAUAAGUGCUGAAAGCAUCUAAGCACGAAACUUGCCCCGAGAUGAGUUCUCCCUGAGACUUUAAGUCUCCUGAAGGAACGUUGAAGACGACGACGUUGAUAGGUCGGGUGUGUAAGCGUAGCGAUACGUUGAGCUAACCGAUACUAAUGAACCGUGAGGCUUAACCUUACAACGCCGAAG
Molecule: ribosomal RNA, 873 nt
Filed under: Citrobacter freundii
Lineage: Bacteria; Pseudomonadati; Pseudomonadota; Gammaproteobacteria; Enterobacterales; Enterobacteriaceae
Description: partial 23S ribosomal RNA
Rfam family: Bacterial large subunit ribosomal RNA
Source: RNAcentral